UCCCUGGCCGUGGGCUGAGCAGAUUGCAGGGCCGGCUCUGCUUCUGGCAGCCAGCAGCUCUUUCCUGCUCCAGGUGAACGGUUCAGGUGCCAUCCCGUGGGCACGGCGGUGCUGAUUCUGCUGCUCCUGGUGCUGGUGCUGGCUUUGGGGGCGGCCGUGGCUGUGCUGGCAGCACCACAGGUUCCAGUCACACCUGCCACUCCGCUGUUGGUUCUGGGCUGUCCCCAUGACUGGAUUGGCUACAAUGGGGUCUGCUACUACUUCUCACGGGAUUUCAGCACGUGGGAGCAGGGUCAGGAACGGUGCUCCGGGCUCAAUGCCUCCCUGGCCAUUGCCCAGGAUGAGGAGGCCAUGGAUUUGCUCUCCCGCCUCUGUGGGAAUUUCGGUUACUGGCUCGGGCUGCGCAGACGGGGCGAGCGCCUGCACUGGGGGGACGGCAGCAGCUACAGCUCCCGGUGAGUGCCGGGGAGCCGGGCAGGGCCUGGGGGCACAGGGGCACAAGGGCUUCCCCUGGCAGCCAGCGCUGCCUCUGCUCCUCCCUGCAGGGUUCCUGUCCUCGGCAGUUCCCAGUGUGUGUACCUGGCUGAUGAUAAAUUCAGGAGCGGGAACUGCUCCAGUGAGUGGCCGUAUGUCUGCAGCAAGGCCCAAGCUCCCCUGUAACAGGGGCUGCACAAAGGACCUUCUCCACGCUGGGCAGUGCCAGCUUCACCUCUGAGCCCAGCACAGCGUUCUCCUUCCUCAGCUGCGCCCUGUGCCUUGCACUUCCUCUCAGGGUCACCUCAGUGCCUCUUCAUCCCCAGUGCCAGCGCUGGGCUGGGGCUGCAAAGGAAAAGUCUCUGCAAUCCAUCCUGCCACUGAUGCUGCCUGCAGUGACUGCAUUGCCCUCAUGACACAACAA
Melospiza melodia melodia is the source of this 898-nucleotide long non-coding RNA. RefSeq lists it as uncharacterized. The transcript is spliced from 3 exons. The record is from RefSeq and is a predicted model, not a curated record. NCBI's taxonomy places the organism in Eukaryota, Metazoa, Chordata, Aves, Passeriformes, Passerellidae.